This 483-nucleotide ribosomal RNA is filed under the name uncultured bacterium. RNAcentral's name for it is "partial 16S ribosomal RNA". It matches the Rfam family "Bacterial small subunit ribosomal RNA", at positions 28 to 523 of the family's 1533-position model. The record is from RNAcentral.
GACGAACGCUGGCGGCGUGCUUAACACAUGCAAGUCGAACGAUGAAGCUGGAGCUUGCUCCGGUGGAUUAGUGGCGAACGGGUGAGUAACACGUGGGCAAUCUGCCCUUGACUCUGGGAUAACUGCGGGAAACUGUAGCUAAUACCGGAUACGAGGCUCGAAGGCAUCUUCGGGUCUGGAAAGAAUUUCGGUCAAGGAUGAGCUCGCGGCCUAUCAGCUUGUUGGUGAAGUAAUGGCUCACCAAGGCGACGACGGGUAGCCGGCCUGAGAGGGUGACCGGCCACACUGGGACUGAGACACGGCCCAGACUCCUACGGGAGGCAGCAGUGGGGAAUAUUGCACAAUGGGCGAAAGCCUGAUGCAGCAACGCCGCGUGAGGGAUGAAGGCCUUCGGGUUGUAAACCUCUUUUAGCAGGGAAGAAGCGAAAGUGACGGUACCUGCAGAAAAAGCACCGGCUAACUACGUGCCAGCCGCCGCAGUAA